This is a long non-coding RNA of Dreissena polymorpha, 2166 nucleotides long. RefSeq lists it as uncharacterized. The record is from RefSeq and is a predicted model, not a curated record. NCBI's taxonomy places the organism in Eukaryota, Metazoa, Mollusca, Bivalvia, Myida, Dreissenidae. The transcript is spliced from 3 exons.
GGCAGUACAGAUCCUGUCCACUGUCAUUAGUGGCGGCAUAUUAACUAAUUAAGGGUCUUUUAUGUAUUUAAUAUAACACUUGUAAAGGAAAUAAAGCACAAGACUAAAUGUGAGUUGUUUUGGUGUUGUGUAUUCUUAACUAUAUGUAAUGGAUAGGACAUUUAAACAAAGUAUAUGCACAAUUUGCCAGUAAACACAAUGGCCCCGUUUCAUAAACAAUUCUUAAGUUUUUCGUAAGAAUUCUGCGAUUUUUACGUACGGACGUUCUUACGCCAAUUCCUACGAACGUUUGAUAAACGCGUUCGCAGACUUAAGAAUUCUUACGAAUCUUACUAACGUAAAACCAGUCUGCGCUCUUUAAUUAAAGGUUUUAAAAGACGUAAAACUAACAUUUGGCGCCAUCUGUCAGAUUAUAAUUAACACUACGAGAACUAGUAGAAAAGCAAUAAAACUAAUUGUUAUGUAUACAUUUAUUUUUCUCUUUUAAAAUAAAUAAAUGUGAAGUCGUCAGCAGAAAUGCUUUCAAAUGAGGUCGACGUUUUAUGACGCUAAACGUGUUUUUGUGUGACGUUAAAUAACUGCACUUGAUUAGUUGAAAUUCAUUCAGGUGAACUGAAACAUAUAUAACUUGUGAUCUUGGUGACAAGUUCAGACGAAAAAGGCACUGACCCCUCGGGAAGUUAUCGCUUAUAAUGUAAACAACGUUUUUAAAGUUUGUUGAGUGUAACAAUUGCUUUGUUGUUGAAAUUGAAAUACUCAUUGGGGUUAAACGAGCGUAGAGUAACAAUACGAUGUUGAAAUUUACUGUCAAAGUUGGAUAGAUUUGCGCUGAUUAACAAUGGAACAAACUGCUAUUGAUUGACAUGGAGGAUUUCUAAAUUAAGGAGCUGAUAUUCCACAUCAGGUGAACAGAUACUUCAUGAAUUAUAUGAAUCACCAGGGAAAGGACCCAACUACUUGCACAGAUGCAUCCUGGCGGGUGAAAGAAGGGAUGAUAACUUUGACAACAGAUUGUUCAACUGCUUAAAUGUUGAUGUGGACUCAGUCAAAGAAUUUGCUGUAACUGUGUAUGUCUCUUCACUAUGUGGACAUAAAGUGCUACAGCUGGUUGGAGAUUAAGAUCACAAUGUACUGUUUUAAUGGAGAACAUCUGUGAAUAUUUAUUCUAACAAUGGAAAUUCAAACCUGAAUUAUUAUAAUUAGAAAAAUUGUUCAUGUACAUGCUGGAAUUUUAUUUGAAGUGUAAAACUAAAAUAAUUUAGAAUUAUUUUUAAACACAAACACAGUUUUAUUAUAGAAAUAAUUGUAUAAACUUAAGAGAAAUCAGUGUUUAAGUGAUGCAUUUUAUUUAGUGUUUGACCUAUUUAACACCUUAACUAUGUUUUUUUAUGUUGAAUGUAAUGGUAAUAAAAAAAACCAUAAGCUGACAUCCAAAGGGUUUUAACCUUAAAGGGAAUUGUUCACAGAUUCAGGCAUUUUUUUAAAGUAUGUCAGUAGAAGCCUUAAAUUGCUAGAUUUUAACCUCAAAAUAGAAUUUUAGAAGAGAUAAAAACACCAGAAAAAUAUUGGUAUCCAUGGGGGUCCUUAAAUUAUUUAACCUAUAACACUCGGCCAUCUUGAAUUUUAUAUUUAAGCAUUCAUUUUAUACUGGAUAUAUGUGACCCAUGUGAAAUAACAAAAUUUAACAGAAAAAACAGAAUCAUUAAAAAUUAUCCAAUCAUCACCCUGUUUAAUUGUAUCCAUUACACAUGAUGAAUACUCAUAAAAAAGCUGUAUUUUCAGUUUGAGUCUACAUCAUUAGUGGCAUUUUGCUCCCUGAUUUACAGUACAUGUAUUCUUUUUUAUUUUGUAUCUGUUCCUUAAAUUUGGAAAAUGGUCAGUUUUACUAUCUGUGCACAAUUCCUUUUGAUCUUUAUUCUUAGUUUUGUGAUCAAUGGAAUGCCUAAUACCAUCUCAAUAGUAAAUGAGAUUACGGGUAAGUACUUGUUAAACAAUAAGGCCGUAAAACGUGCAAAGCCCUUCUUUAUUGUAUCUCAAAUUGUGAAAAGCAAUUCUGAGAUUUUUAUGUUUUCUAACAUUUAAUUACUUUUUUGAGUUACUAAUUAUAAGUAAAUGUAAUUUUUGUAAGAUUAAAAUGCAUUGACUUGUUCAAAUAAAAAUAAUAAC